RNAcentral lists this ribosomal RNA (465 nucleotides) under Vreelandella stevensii. RNAcentral's name for it is "partial 16S ribosomal RNA". It matches the Rfam family "Bacterial small subunit ribosomal RNA", at positions 338 to 795 of the family's 1533-position model. Lineage: Bacteria; Pseudomonadati; Pseudomonadota; Gammaproteobacteria; Oceanospirillales; Halomonadaceae. The record is from RNAcentral.
CCUACGGGUGGCUGCAGUGGGGAAUAUUGGACAAUGGGGGGAACCCUGAUCCAGCCAUGCCGCGUGUGUGAAGAAGGCCCUCGGGUUGUAAAGCACUUUCAGUGAGGAAGAACGCCUGGUGGUUAAUACCCAUCAGGAAAGACAUCACUCACAGAAGAAGCACCGGCUAACUCCGUGCCAGCAGCCGCGGUAAUACGGAGGGUGCGAGCGUUAAUCGGAAUUACUGGGCGUAAAGCGCGCGUAGGUGGCUUGAUAAGCCGGUUGUGAAAGCCCCGGGCUCAACCUGGGAACGGCAUCCGGAACUGUCAAGCUAGAGUGCAGGAGAGGGAGGUAGAAUUCCCGGUGUAGCGGUGAAAUGCGUAGAGAUCGGGAGGAAUACCAGUGGCGAAGGCGGCCUUCUGGACUGACACUGACACUGAGGUGCGAAAGCGUGGGUAGCAAACAGGAUUAGAUACCCCGGUAGUC